This is a non-coding RNA of Canis lupus familiaris (dog), 104 nucleotides long. The record is from Rfam. Lineage: Eukaryota; Metazoa; Chordata; Mammalia; Carnivora; Canidae.
AUGACCAUAGGUCAAGAGUUGGUUUCAUUGGAACAAUACAGAGAAUAUUAGCAUAGCCCCUGUGCAAGGAUGACAUGCAAAAAAAAAAAAAAAUAGAGUUCAUU